GAUGAACGCUGGCGGCGUGCCUAAUACAUGCAAGUCGAGCGAACAGACGAGGAGCUUGCUCCUCUGACGUUAGCGGCGGACGGGUGAGUAACACGUGGAUAACCUACCUAUAAGACUGGGAUAACUUCGGGAAACCGGAGCUAAUACCGGAUAAUAUAUUGAACCGCAUGGUUCAAUAGUGAAAGACGGUUUUGCUGUCACUUAUAGAUGGAUCCGCGCCGGAUUAGCUAGUUGGUAAGGUAACGGCUUACCAAGGCAACGAUGCGUAGCCGACCUGAGAGGGUGAUCGGCCACACUGGAACUGAGACACGGUCCAGACUCCUACGGGAGGCAGCAGUAGGGAAUCUUCCGCAAUGGGCGAAAGCCGGACGGAGCAACGCCGCGUGAGUGAUGAAGGUCUUCGGAUCGGAAAACUCUGUUAUUAGGGAAGAACAAAUGUGUAAGUAACUAUGCACGUCUUGACGGUACCUAAUCAGAAAGCCACGGCUAACUACGUG
RNAcentral lists this ribosomal RNA (497 nucleotides) under uncultured bacterium. RNAcentral's name for it is "partial 16S ribosomal RNA". It matches the Rfam family "Bacterial small subunit ribosomal RNA", at positions 28 to 507 of the family's 1533-position model. The record is from RNAcentral.